GGCGCCUGAUUUUGCGUGCUGUGCCAUAGGCUGUGUGUUUCUGCUGUGUGUUUGUGCUGUCUCCAAGACAAGGCCUUUAUUCUAUGACAAUGCAGCCUACCUCGUGUAAGAAAUGACAAACGUACACCUUUAGGCAAGCUUUUUACAGCUUGAGUAGCAUCCGUGAUGCCCUUUGGGAAGUCCCACCAAGCAGCCGCUUCUUUUUCGUAGUGACCGGCUGCCACGCUCUACUGACUUUCUUGCUAAAGGCCCCUGCAGGCCGCCUUGGACGCCGAGCUUUGUGCCUACAAGAGCAGCAUCCAGGCAUUCCAGCUGUCCAGCAAAUGCAGGUGGUGCAGUUACAUCAAGGAUACCAGCACCGCUGCAACUCCUGUACCUUUAAGGCGGAUAAACUGAUCUGAAGCACACACCAGGAUCCAUACAGGGCAGCGUCUGCUUGAAUUCUAUUUGUGCCCCGGGGCUUCUCCUAAACGUCCAAGCUGAAGCAAAACCUGUGCACCCGCCCAAGCAAAAGGCAAUUUGAGUUCCCUUAAUGCCCUCAGAGCUUCUCAGAAAAAGUUAAUCUGAAACACCUGUGCAUCCACACAGGUGACAUGUCAUUUCAUUGCCAGUUAUGCCCUAAGAGCUUUACCCAAAAAGGUACUCUGAACCGACAUCUGCGCAUCCACACAGGCGAGAGGCCGUUUGAGUGCUCUUCAUGCCCUCAGAGCUUCUCACAAAAAAGUGCUCUGAACCAACAUCUGCGCAUCCACACAGGCGAGAGGCCGUUUGAGUGCCCUUCAUGCCCUCAGAGCUUCUCACAAAAGAGUGCUCUGAACCAACACUUGCGCACCCACACAGGAGAGAGGCCAUUUGAGUGCCCUUCAUGCCCUCAGAGC
This is a long non-coding RNA of Dermacentor silvarum, 878 nucleotides long. RefSeq lists it as uncharacterized. NCBI's taxonomy places the organism in Eukaryota, Metazoa, Arthropoda, Arachnida, Ixodida, Ixodidae. The record is from RefSeq and is a predicted model, not a curated record. The transcript is spliced from 4 exons.